Molecule: long non-coding RNA, 457 nt
Organism: Aethina tumida (small hive beetle)
Lineage: Eukaryota; Metazoa; Arthropoda; Insecta; Coleoptera; Nitidulidae
Exons: 2
Source: RefSeq, a predicted model, not a curated record
AUUUGAUAGCACCUUCUUCUUUCUUUAGCCUCUUUAAGUGCUUUUUGAUUUCUAAAACUUUUUUCUUUUUAACAUCGUCACACUUGAAUAAGUUCUCACAUGUGGACCAAUUUUUUUUGGGAUAGGAACUGACAUAAUAGUGUGAUGACCUUUGUUGACUCUGAUAUUAUCGUUGGAUUUAUGGUUUAUUUUGAAGUAUUGCACAUCGUUCAUCAAAGUACACUCAGAUAUUUAUAUUAUGUUUAUUGAAUGGCGGAUUAAUGAAUGACUUUCGGCACGUUCACAGGUUUUUAAAUAAGACAAAUGUAAUACAAAACCAUCAUUUAUUAUAAAGAUAUACAAAAUACAUAUUUCUUACAAAAAUUAAAGCUUUCCAGAAAAAAACUAAAGCUACAUUUAUAAAAAAAGGAACGAAAUAAUUUUUUUUGUACUAUGAUAAUUGAGUAAUAUAAAUGAU